Molecule: non-coding RNA, 25 nt
Filed under: Cricetulus griseus (Chinese hamster)
Lineage: Eukaryota; Metazoa; Chordata; Mammalia; Rodentia; Cricetidae
Source: RNAcentral
UGUGAAUAGAAACUGGAUGGCACAG